RNAcentral lists this long non-coding RNA (608 nucleotides) under Heterocephalus glaber (naked mole-rat). RNAcentral describes it as "lncRNA (ENSHGLG00000050547.1)". The record is from RNAcentral. Lineage: Eukaryota; Metazoa; Chordata; Mammalia; Rodentia; Bathyergidae.
CAGAAGCCAAUGAGAGUACACCCAGUUGAUGUUUGUGACAUCAUCUUCCAGUCGGAGUACAUAGAACAGCUGAGGUAGCGUUCAGUUUCAGCCCCAGUGCCAUUAUGAUGGAUGUUUACAUCUCUUCAUUGAGAGCCAAUUAUCUCGCUUUUGUGUGAGGCCCAAGGAUCACUCAUGCUGCCUGGCUGCACAGAGCACUGUUGGAUCUAGCUGAACGAAUUGUUUUCUGUCUCUGCAUUUCCUCAGUAAGUGGAUCCCUCUGAACCUUCUUCACUACUGACCUCCCAGCAUAAAUCUCCAUUAAAGAAAUGCCUGAGGAAGUGAAGAAGAUAUCUUAAGAAAGUCAUCUUCCACUGAUCUUGCUAUGAGUACACCCAAGAAGAGCUCAUUUUGAGUCAGAAAAAUGUAUCAGUAAUGAAGAGAAAGUGUAGACUGGAGCCAGAGAAGAUGGCCAGCUGCCUUUCCCAUGCGCCGAGCAACAACGACAACAACAACUCAUGCACUUACUGUAGGUUUGCAGAGCUAGGGGCAGAGUUACGGGGUUUGACACUGAGGAAACAAAUUGGAAAGGGUACAUGUUGGGUUAGGGACUCCUAUUUUCUGCCCAC